This 396-nucleotide ribosomal RNA is filed under the name uncultured bacterium. RNAcentral's name for it is "partial 16S ribosomal RNA". It matches the Rfam family "Bacterial small subunit ribosomal RNA", at positions 338 to 731 of the family's 1533-position model. The record is from RNAcentral.
CCUACGGGUGGCAGCAGUGAGGAAUAUUGGUCAAUGGACGCAAGUCUGAACCAGCCAUGCCGCGUGCAGGAUGACGGCCCUAUGAGUUGUAAACUGCUUUUGUACGAGGGUAAACUCCGAUACGUGUAUCUUGUUGAACGUAUCGUACGAAUAAGGAUCGGCUUACUCCGUGCCAGCAGCCGCGGUACUACGGAGGGUCCGAGCGUUAGCCGGCUUUAUUGGGUUGAAAGGGUGCGUAGGCGGGUUGGUAAGUUCGCGGUGAAAUGUCGGGGCUCAACCCCGCGACUGCGCCGAAUCCUGGUGGACUGGAGAGUAGUUGAGGUAGGCGGAAUGUGUGGUGUAGCGGUGAAAUGCGUAGAGAUCAGGAAGAACACCGAUGGCGAAGGCAGCUUACCG